UUGGAGGGCAAGUCUGGUGCCAGCAGCCGCGGUAAUUCCAGCUCCAAUAGCGUAUAUUAAAGUUGUUGCAGUUAAAAAGCUCGUAGUUGAAUUUCGAGAUCAAUUUGUCGGUCGUGCCUCGGUACGUACUGGCAUUAUUGAUUUCUCCCUUCUGAAGAACCGCGAUGUCAUUAAUUUGGUGUCGUGGGGAAUCAGGACUGUUACUUUGAAAAAAUUAGAGUGUUUAAAGCAGGCGCACGCUUGAAUACAUUAGCAUGGAAUAAUGAAAUAGGACGUUUGAUUCUAUUUUGUUGGUUUCUAGGAUUGACGUAAUGAUUAAUAGGGAUAGUUGGGGGCAUUAGUAUUCAAUUGUCAGAGGUGAAAUUCUUGGAUUUAUUGAAGACUAACUACUGCGAAAGCAUUUGCCAAGGAUGUUUUCAUUAAUCAAGAACGAAAGUUAGGGGAUCGAAGACGAUCAGAUACCGUCGUAGUCUUAACCAUAAACUAUGCCGACUAGGGAUCGGAUGAUGUUAAUUUUUUAAUGACUCAUUCGGCGCCUUACGGGAAAC
This 548-nucleotide ribosomal RNA is filed under the name uncultured Glomeromycotina. Its description in RNAcentral is "SSU rRNA". It matches the Rfam family "Eukaryotic small subunit ribosomal RNA", at positions 548 to 1098 of the family's 1831-position model. The record is from RNAcentral. Lineage: Eukaryota; Fungi; Glomeromycota.